This 254-nucleotide ribosomal RNA is filed under the name uncultured bacterium. RNAcentral describes it as "partial 16S ribosomal RNA". It matches the Rfam family "Bacterial small subunit ribosomal RNA", at positions 524 to 776 of the family's 1533-position model. The record is from RNAcentral.
UACGUAGGUGGCAAGCGUUGUCCGGAAUUACUGGGUGUAAAGCGCGUGUAGGCGGCAGACCAAGUCGGCGGUGAAAGCGCCCGGCUCAACUGGGCGAGGUCCGGUGGAAACUGGUCAGCUGGAGGACGGUAGAGGCGAGUGGAAUUCCCGGUGUAGUGGUGAAAUGCGUAGAGAUCGGGAGGAACACCUGUGGCGAAGGCGGCUCGCUGGGCCGGUCCUGACGCUGAGACGCGAAGGCGUGGGGAGCGAACGGG